UUCAGUGGUAGAAUGCUCGCCUGCCACGCGGGAGGUCCGGGUUCGAUUCCCGA
Molecule: transfer RNA, 53 nt
Filed under: Cordylochernes scorpioides
Lineage: Eukaryota; Metazoa; Arthropoda; Arachnida; Pseudoscorpiones; Chernetidae
Description: partial tRNA-Gly
Rfam family: tRNA
About the family: Transfer RNA (tRNA) molecules are approximately 80 nucleotides in length. Their secondary structure includes four short double-helical elements and three loops (D, anti-codon, and T loops).
Source: RNAcentral